GCCUGGGUGGCUCAGUCGGUUAAGCGUCCGACUGUGGUUCAGGUCAUGUUCUCGCAAUUUGUGGGUUCGAGCCCCACGUCGGGCU
Felis catus (domestic cat) is the source of this 85-nucleotide transfer RNA. It matches the Rfam family "tRNA". From Rfam's summary of the family: Transfer RNA (tRNA) molecules are approximately 80 nucleotides in length. Their secondary structure includes four short double-helical elements and three loops (D, anti-codon, and T loops). Lineage: Eukaryota; Metazoa; Chordata; Mammalia; Carnivora; Felidae. The record is from Rfam.